Molecule: long non-coding RNA, 636 nt
Organism: Musca domestica (house fly)
Lineage: Eukaryota; Metazoa; Arthropoda; Insecta; Diptera; Muscidae
Exons: 2
Source: RefSeq, a predicted model, not a curated record
UACAAUGACUUUUUUAACCAUGUGCAUGGUUAAUUUUUUCAUGGUAAAUGUUUGAGAUUACAAACACAAAUUAACGUUAUAUAAGGUCAAAUGUAGAUGAAAAAUAGUUUAAUUAACGUUGUAUAAGGUUGUUGUUUUUUGAGAGAGACGGAAAAAUGUGAGAGAUACAUAAAAAUUUAAAGAGCCUUCGGCUCUGUUGUGGUCAACAAUUUUGAACUGCUUUGUGUUUGACGAAGUUCAAUAUUACAAUAUACGAAGUUGCAACGAAUGUGACUGUCAUAUUCCCCCUCCUCCUCUUUAUCGAAUCUCUUUCUGUGGUCUGAAUAUGUGUAAGAAAGAUCAAAUAGACAAUCACUUCUUUAGUUGGUGUUGAAUAGUGCAAGGGAGUAGUGCACGUGCUCGUGGGAAUAGUGCUUGGUAUAAAGUCGGUGUUUGGCGUUUUGUAGUUUUUUUCACAAUGGCUGAGGAAUAUAAUUUAAAAUCACUCGGUAAGGCGUUAAAAAAUAAAAUUUAUAUUAAACAUAUAUCUUUCUUUACCAGCCCUCCCUUAAAUAUACAUACAAUUUGUAAUGGAAAUACAUAUUUUAGAAAUAUGCGGUAUUAAUAAAUAAAUAAUAAAUAAACUUGUAAAAAUUA